UGCAUCGGCCGGGAAUCGAACCCGGGGCGCCCGCCACUAUAAUAUAUAAAUGCGUUUUAAAAAUUGUAAAAAAAAAAAAAAAUGCAUCGGCCGGAAAUCGAAUCGGGGCGCCCGCGUGGCAGGCGAGCAUUCUACCACUGAACCAAAAGC
Molecule: transfer RNA, 150 nt
Filed under: Cordylochernes scorpioides
Lineage: Eukaryota; Metazoa; Arthropoda; Arachnida; Pseudoscorpiones; Chernetidae
Description: tRNA-Gly
Source: RNAcentral